Long non-coding RNA from Corylus avellana, 463 nucleotides. RefSeq lists it as uncharacterized. The record is from RefSeq and is a predicted model, not a curated record. Lineage: Eukaryota; Viridiplantae; Streptophyta; Magnoliopsida; Fagales; Betulaceae.
GUUGGAAUUGGAUCCACCGGUGUGAUAUCGAUCAAAGUUUCCAUCAGAAGACCCGACUGGUUCACCUCGAUAACUGAGUUUCGAGGGACCCAAUGCAUCCUAAAGACUAUCCCAUCAGCCUUGAAGUUCUUAAAAUAAAGUGCUAUAGUUAUUGUAUCGGGGCAUUGAAUUUUGGAAGUGAUCAUGCAGACUGUAUUGUAGGCUGCUAUGAAAAGAAUAAGAAGAAGCCCUGAAUAUUUAUAUCUAGAAUCGACGAGCUCCAAGUUUGUUUAAGGGUGACUAAGAUGGCGCCGUCGGUUGGUGAGCACAAACUUGAAUAGUUGGAUUGUAUACAUGGAUAAGAACUCCUAGUUUUAUGGCUUGCUUUAUCUAUGUAUCUCUUAAGUUAUAAGAAUAUUGUUGUAGAGACACUUUUACUUGAUUUUGUGUUUGAAUGUUGUGGGCAUGAUCGACCCAACCCCAA